This is a long non-coding RNA of Aedes aegypti (yellow fever mosquito), 696 nucleotides long. RefSeq lists it as uncharacterized. The transcript is spliced from 4 exons. NCBI's taxonomy places the organism in Eukaryota, Metazoa, Arthropoda, Insecta, Diptera, Culicidae. The record is from RefSeq and is a predicted model, not a curated record.
GAAUUAACUAUUUACAGUGAUGCGCAUCAAAAACAAUUUUACAACCCUAUUUACAAAUUAUUUACAACACUUUAGAUCACAUUCCGCACGGCCGAACCCCAUGGCGGGAUUUAUUGCCGGCGGGCAAACUGUCAUUCGUUGACAGUUGGCAAAACGUCAUGAAUCUGUCAAAGUGAACUGUCACAGCAUAUCUAUUGUUUAUUAUGUUUAUGUUUAUUCUGUGCUGUGCAGUUGAAAGUGGAAAUAGAAGAUUUCAUUGAGAAAAGGCCUUAUAUUCAACGAAACGUUUCGGUGAAUGAGCUCGAUUGGUGUGACAGUGGCGGGCUGUUUUGCGAUGCGGCGGCAAUCUUUUCACGAAAGAUUGGCCCAUUGCAACCCCCAAAUUUUGCCGGGAUUACCAUAAUAGCCAUCUUGGCACAGCAAGAUGCAUCAGAUUGGCCAAUCUACGCAGUGGGCGAUCCCCUCUCGGCAACUCCGCAGGUGAGGAAAAUGAGGGUAUUUCUUCACCCCUCACAUCUUCCGCCGGUCCUGCUAGUCCCGAUAUUGAUCCCCGAGUUUAUUUAAGAUCAACCCUCAGCGAUGUUUGCCGUCGGUAACCGGGGAUAAUUUAUUACUCCCGCGCCUUACCAGAGCUGUGGCAAACUGCCGAAAAAAUUGGAUUAUAAAACGAAAGAAAAAUAUACGAUUGAACAUGAA